This 332-nucleotide ribosomal RNA is filed under the name uncultured bacterium. RNAcentral's name for it is "bacterial SSU rRNA". It matches the Rfam family "Bacterial small subunit ribosomal RNA", at positions 568 to 898 of the family's 1533-position model. The record is from RNAcentral.
CGCGUAGGUGGUAGUGUAAGUCUGGGGUGGAAUCCCAGGGCUUAACCCUGGAACUGCCUUGGAAACUGCAUUACUUGAGUCAGUGAGGGGAGGGUAGAAUUCCUGGUGUAGCGGCGAAAUGCGUAGAUAUCAGGAGGAAGGCCUGUGGCGAAGGCGGCCCUCUGGCGCUGGACUGACACUGAGGCGCGAAAGCUAGGGGAGCAAACGGGAUUAGAUACCCCGGUAGUCCUAGCCCUAAACGAUGGGUACUAAGUAGGCGCGGCCCCGAUGUCGUGUCUGCUGUAGCCAAUGUGCUAAGUACCCCGCCUGGGGAGUACGGUCGCAAGGCUGAA